UACGAAGGGGGCUAGCGUUGCUCGGAAUCACUGGGCGUAAAGCGCACGUAGGCGGCUUUUUAAGUCAGGGGUGAAAUCCUGGAGCUCAACUCCAGAACUGCCUUUGAUACUGGGAAGCUUGAGUCCGGAAGAGGUGAGUGGAACUCCGAGUGUAGAGGCGAAAUUCGUAGAUAUUCGGAAGAACACCAGUGGCGAAGGCGGCUCACUGGUCCGGUACUGACGCUGAGGUGCGAAAGCGUGGGGAGCAAACAGG
Molecule: ribosomal RNA, 253 nt
Filed under: uncultured bacterium
Lineage: Bacteria
Description: partial 16S ribosomal RNA
Rfam family: Bacterial small subunit ribosomal RNA
Source: RNAcentral